AAAAUCCGUUGGUUUCGAUCGUGAGGGUUCGACUCCCUCUAUCCCCA
RNAcentral lists this transfer RNA (47 nucleotides) under Athyrium fimbriatum. RNAcentral's name for it is "partial tRNA-Leu". The record is from RNAcentral. RNAcentral also lists the same sequence under 1 other name. Lineage: Eukaryota; Viridiplantae; Streptophyta; Polypodiopsida; Polypodiales; Athyriaceae.